This 253-nucleotide ribosomal RNA is filed under the name uncultured bacterium. RNAcentral's name for it is "partial 16S ribosomal RNA". It matches the Rfam family "Bacterial small subunit ribosomal RNA", at positions 524 to 776 of the family's 1533-position model. The record is from RNAcentral.
UACGGGGGGGGCAAGCGUUGUUCGGAAUUACUGGGCGUAAAGGGCUCGUAGGUGGUCAACUAAGUCAUACGUGAAAUCCCUCGGCUUAACCGGGGAACUGCGCCUGAUACUGGUUGACUUGAGUUUGGGAGAGGGACGCGGAAUUCCAGGUGUAGCGGUGAAAUUCGUAGAUAUCGGGAGGAACACCUGUGGCGAAGGCGGCCAUCUGGACAGUCACUGACACUGAGACGCGAAAGCGUGGGUAGCAAACAGG